RNAcentral lists this ribosomal RNA (253 nucleotides) under uncultured bacterium. RNAcentral's name for it is "partial 16S ribosomal RNA". It matches the Rfam family "Bacterial small subunit ribosomal RNA", at positions 524 to 776 of the family's 1533-position model. The record is from RNAcentral.
UACAGAGGUCUCGACCGUUGUUCGGAUUCAUUGGGCGUAAAGGGUGCGUAGGCGGUCGGGUAAGUCGGAUGUGAAAUCUCAGGGCUCAACCCUGAAACUGCAUUCGAUACUGCCUGGCUAGGGUACUGGAGAGGAGACUGGAAUUUACGGUGUAGCAGUGAAAUGCGUAGAUAUCGUAAGGAAGACCAGUGGCGAAGGCGAGUCUCUGGACAGUUACCGACGCUGAGGCACGAAGGUCAGGGGAGCAAACGGG